This 254-nucleotide ribosomal RNA is filed under the name uncultured bacterium. Its description in RNAcentral is "partial 16S ribosomal RNA". It matches the Rfam family "Bacterial small subunit ribosomal RNA", at positions 524 to 776 of the family's 1533-position model. The record is from RNAcentral.
UACGUAGGCAGCGAGCGUUGUUCGGAGUUACUGGGCGUAAAGGGUGUGUAGGCGGUUCUUUAAGUUUGGUGUGAAAUCUCCCGGCUCAACUGGGAGGGUGCGCCGAAUACUGAAUGACUUCGAGUGCGGGAGAGGAAAGUGGAAUUCCUGGUGUAGCGGUGAAAUGCGUAGAUAUCAGGAAGAACACCUAUGGCGAAGGCAGCUCUCUGGGACGGUACUGACGCUGAGACGCGAAAGCGUGGGGAGCGAACAGG